RNAcentral lists this ribosomal RNA (468 nucleotides) under uncultured bacterium. Its description in RNAcentral is "partial 16S ribosomal RNA". It matches the Rfam family "Bacterial small subunit ribosomal RNA", at positions 28 to 507 of the family's 1533-position model. The record is from RNAcentral.
GACGAACGCUGGCGGCGUGCUUAACACAUGCAAGUCGAACGGAAAGGCCCUGCUUUUGUGGGGUGCUCGAGUGGCGAACGGGUGAGUAACACGUGAGUAACCUGCCCUUGACUUUGGGAUAACUUCAGGAAACUGGGGCUAAUACCGGAUAGGAGCUCCUGCUGCAUGGUGGGGGUUGGAAAGUUUCGGCGGUUGGGGAUGGACUCGCGGCUUAUCAGCUUGUUGGUGGGGUAGUGGCUUACCAAGGCUUUGACGGGUAGCCGGCCUGAGAGGGUGACCGGCCACAUUGGGACUGAGAUACGGCCCAGACUCCUACGGGAGGCAGCAGUGGGGAAUAUUGAACAAUGGGCGGAAGCCUGAUGCAGCAACGCCGCGUGCGGGAUGACGGCCUUCGGGUUGUAAACCGCUUUCGCCUGUGACGAAGCGUGAGUGACGGUAAUGGGUAAAGAAGCACCAGCUAACUACGUG